Molecule: ribosomal RNA, 303 nt
Filed under: uncultured bacterium
Lineage: Bacteria
Description: bacterial SSU rRNA
Rfam family: Bacterial small subunit ribosomal RNA
Source: RNAcentral
GGAUUAGAUACCCUGGUAGUCCACGCCGUAAACGUUGAUCACUAGACGUUAGUUCUGGUUUUCCGGAAUUAGUGUCGAAGCUAACGCGAUAAGUGAUCCGCCUGGGGAGUACGGUCGCAAGGCUAAAACUCAAAGGAAUUGACGGGGGCCCGCACAAGCGGUGGAACAUGUGGUUUAAUUCGAUAAUACGCGAGGAAUCUUACCUAGGUUUGACAUGCUUUUGACAGUUGUAGAAACACAAUCUUCCAAGCUUCGGUUUGGACAAUUGCACAGGUGCUGCAUGGCUGUCGUCAGCUCGUGCCG